GCAUUGGUGGCCCAGUGGUAGAGCUCCCGCCUGCCACGCUGGCAGCCUGGGUUCGUAUCCCGGCCAAUGCC
Molecule: transfer RNA, 71 nt
Filed under: Anguilla anguilla (European eel)
Lineage: Eukaryota; Metazoa; Chordata; Actinopteri; Anguilliformes; Anguillidae
Rfam family: tRNA
About the family: Transfer RNA (tRNA) molecules are approximately 80 nucleotides in length. Their secondary structure includes four short double-helical elements and three loops (D, anti-codon, and T loops).
Source: Rfam by way of RNAcentral